This 22-nucleotide microRNA is filed under the name Mesocestoides corti. RNAcentral's name for it is "mco-miR-10-5p". Its record names the gene mco-miR-10-5p. The record is from miRBase by way of RNAcentral. Lineage: Eukaryota; Metazoa; Platyhelminthes; Cestoda; Cyclophyllidea; Mesocestoididae.
AAACUCGAGUCUUCAAGGAAAC